This 173-nucleotide ribosomal RNA is filed under the name uncultured Ascomycota. RNAcentral's name for it is "partial 18S ribosomal RNA". The record is from RNAcentral. Lineage: Eukaryota; Fungi; Ascomycota.
CCCAUGCCUCUAAUCAUUCGCUUUACCCCAUAAAAACUGAAUACGUUACUGCUAUCCUGAGGGAAACUUCGGCAGGAACCAGCUACUAGAUAGUUCGAUUAGUCUUUCGCCCCUAUGCCCAAAUUUGACGAUCGAUUUGCACGUCAGAACCGCUGCGAGCCUCCACCAGAGUU